AAACCUAAAGUAAUAAUGCCUAGCCGAUUUCCAAGGUACAGCUGGACACCAAUAGCCUCUUCUUAUCUUUUCCAACGUUACUUUCUGUGCAGUCGAAUAGCUUCUCUUUUAGUUUUCAAUUCUUCCUGCACAAAAUCCUCUCUAAUCUGGGCAUAUUCUCCAUCGUCCUUCCGGGUUCAAAUGGAAAAGGUCUAGGUUCGCUCUCAACUGGUAUGUUUCCUCUCUUUUCUUUAAAGAUUCUUCUGCUACUUUGUGGGCAUGGACGUUGUUUGUUUUGUUUAUAAUCUGGAACCUGAUUUCAUGAAACCAUGCUUUCUUACUUUGAGUGUCACUGAUUAUCGCCCCGAUGACUGACUUAUCUUGUUCUUGUGAUUGCCAUUUUUUAAUAACUGAGCAAGAAUCUCCCCUUAUCAUGACUGAGCGAAGGUCCAACGAUAUUCCUAACUUUACAGCCUGUAGUCCUGCAUAGGCUUCAACUGUGAAAGGCGAUGGAACAUUUGAGUGUAAUACAGUUUUUGAUGCCAAAAGUUCCCCCGAACAGUCCUAAGCCACCAAACCUGAAGCUGAUUUAAAGUUUCUUUUAUCGAAGGCUGCGUUAAACUUGAUUUCCGCCCUAGUAUUAAUUUCUUGACUGCUAUGAUUUUUGUCUAUGGUCAAGCUUGAUCUAUCUAUUAUACUUGUAAGUUCAGCCAUAUAGCUUUGUAUUCUUUGUGAUAACUCUCUUGCUGUCUCUGUUUUCCUUUCAUGGACAAGCCUGUUUCUCAAGUUCCAGAUGAGCCAUAUUCCACAGCAGACCAUUCGGCACUGUUCAGAAAAGAAACUCUUAAAGAUCUAGGUAAGCCAGUCCCUUAUACUUAGAUUUGUGCUAUGUAGUACCCACGAGAAGUCUAACCUUUUCCAUACCUCUGUUGUUAUAGGACAUUACCAAAAAACGUGAAUACUGUCUUCCUCUUUGUUUUCGCAUCGAGGACACACUACAUUAACCGUUACUCAUUUAGAUCUUAGGCUGACAAGAAUAGAAAUAUAAUUCCAAGAAAUACGCCAUAUUGUGAUUGUAAUCUUCGUAGGCAUCUAUAGAUUCCAAAGUUUUUUUUUUUUGUAGAAAUCUUUUAGAUUCGUUUGUAUUAAAAGAUUAGAAUCUAAGCUAGCCUCCUGUAAUAGUUUAUAGGCGCUUCUUAUUGAAAAUUUACCGGAUGUUUCCCCUCUCCAUACUUGGAAAUCGUCAUAAGGUGUUUCCGAAAUAGGGGUCUGCAAGAUUUGUUGAGCUACUUCUGUUGGAAAGGUACUAUUAAUUUUGUCUUUUAUGUUCUUGUUGAAGCUUUAAUUAAGUCUGAUAUUAACUCUAUUCUGUUGUUUCUAUUGCUCCGUUCGUUCGUGAUCUGUCCUUGGAUCUAUCUAUACUUCCAUACAGAAAUUCCAUCGCCUCUUCCAACUCUCCAACCCAGUCCAUUCUGUAGUAAGCCAUUUGCAGCCCAGAUAAUCCUCCAAGUAAGAGAAGGUAAGUUCCCUAGGUGAGAAUUAAGAAAAUCUGACUGCAGAUAAUAUUUAGCUUUAAGAGCUCUCGCCAAUAACGAAUUCGGAUAAGUAAUGAGGUGCCACCCCUGCUUGGCUAAUAAAGCGAUAUUAAACUGACUAAAAUUUCUAAAACCAAGGCCCCCUUUAACCUUUAAGAUACACAGAUUCCUCCAUGUACACCAAUGUAUUCCUUUUUUCCUAUGCCCCUUUUCCCACCAAAACUUGGCAAUAAUACUCUCUAAUUCAACAUAUAACGAAUUUGGUAAAAGAAAACAGGCCAUUGUAUAUGUUACACCCCUUAUCCGUGUUCGAGGCCGGGAUAGGAUAUGAGGCAUUACCAGGUUUAAACAUAUAUAAUCACAUAAAAUCAACCAUAAAAUUUUGUCUAGAUCAAAAACAUUCAUACAUAUGUAUGAUGUCCUUUAGACGGGCUUAUGAGGCUAUAUACAUGUAUUAAAGAUGAUUCGGGACUAAAUUGAAAAUUUUAAAAACUUUUGGGUAAACUUUAAAAAUUUUAUCAUGAAACAGGGUCACAAGCUUGUGCGGGUAAGCCAUAUGGUCACAAAUGCCCGUGUGGCUUGGGACACGCUUGUGUCCUCAGGCCGUGUAACUCUCUGUUUAUGAUGUCAUCACAAAAUAAGGGCACACGGCCAAAGCACACACUCAUGUCCCAAGGCUAUGUCCUUCACACGGUCGAGACACAUGAUCGUGUCUUAGCAUGUGUGACCAAUUCGAUGUUAAAGUACAAGAUACAGGAGAUACACGGCCGGACUACACGCCCAUGGGGGUAGGCUGUGUGUCACACAAGACUUAAACACACGCCCGUGUGUCUACUUGUGUAGACAAAUAAGGUUAUUUUCCAAGCCAUUUGCCACCCAUAGUUGUACACACACUUAUACAUCUCUAUAGCAAUUAACAUACUUAAUUGAGCAAUUAUACAUCCACAAUCAAGGCUCAAGCAUGGCAUCCUCACAAUAACACAUGCAUGCACGUAACAUUUCUCUUAUUCAAGUCCAAACUUACUAGAACACAUAUAAUAUAUAUAAUUGGUUUACCUCCAAUUUAUCCAUUUAUGUCAUGAUUAUCAACAUGCCAACAAAUCUAAUUUAAAUCUUCAAGCAUUCAUGCCUUAUAACAAAAUCGAAGUCUUCAAAGCAUUAGCACAUACAUGUAUACAAAAUUUGAUUUACGACCAUUUAAGCCAUAUAAGCAAAUUUGCAUGGCUACCCACAACAUCAAUCUAUUAACUAUUACAAGCCAAUGCAUUUGGCUAAAUUAUAACGACAUAUUCACAAAGUGACUUAGUCCCUAUACAUGCCAUAAACUUAAAAGAUUUGCAUAUGUUUUUACCCAACGUGAUAACUUGAUAAUGUGAUGACAUCUCCUGCAAUCUCCAACCCGAACUAGCGAAAAUAACCUAUAAGAGAUGAAAAAAGGAGGGGAGUAAGCUAUAAAGCUUAGUAAGUUCAUAUGAAAAUAAUAAUAAAUUUUAUUAAUAUGUUUUUACCAAAUUCUUACAACAUGCUCUCAAGGUAUCACAAUUAUAAUUGCAUGUUAAUCCAUUAUUUGAUCAAAUUCCAAUUAAGUUGUCUACUCAAGUCAUAGACACUAAAUUUUUUAUAUCUAGAUCUAUGGAGCUCCAAUUUAAAAUCUGUUAAUCUUUUCUAAAACUAGACUCACAUAUCUUCUUACCAUAAAAUUUUUAAAAUUUUUGGUUCAACCAAUUAGUAUAGUUUAUUCUUCAAAUUUACCCUUUUUUUGCUGUUCGAUAGUUCUGACCCCUCUUUACUAAAAUUUAAUUAUCUUCUCAUACGGGAUUCGAAUGAUGUUCCCAUUUGUUUAUUUUGAAAAUAAACUCAUUAAAAAAUCUAAGAAUAUAAAUUAUAACCCAUAAUUAUUUUUUUACAAUUUUUGGUUAUUUUCCCAAAUUAGAACAAGGGAUGUAAAAAACAUUUUGACUUUGUCUCACGAAAAUUCAAAUAUCUCAUAAUCUGAUAUUAUUUUUCUUAUACCGUUUCUUCUAUGUGAAACUAGGCUCAAUAAUAUUUAAUUCCAUAUUUUAUUCAGCCUCUAACUCAUUUUAUAUUAUUUUUGGUGCAUUUUCAAAUUCGGACUGCUACUGCUGUCCAAAACUGUUUUUGUAUAAAAUAAUUAUAACUAAGUCAAUAACACUUUUACCAAUUAUUCCAACCAUCAUGGUAGAAAUACAUAUCUUACUCAUUUGUAUCCUUACCAAUAAUGCGUCAUAAACCAAAUUCACUUCACCUGAGUUAUAUGUACAUACCCGUACCACUUGUAAUACGAUCACGUACCUUCUCGUUUUGAACAUACCCGUUGGAUCAUUCAGAAUACCAAGGGUUACUUGGAAAUGUCAUACAUAUAGUAUUGUUUCAAUGCCAUAUUCCCGAUAUGGUCUUACAUGAAAUAUCAUAUUGAUGCCAUGUCCCCGACAUAGUCUUAUACAAAAUCACAUACCAAGACCAUAUCCCGAAUAUGGUCUUAUACGGAAUCUUAAUAACCUUAUUGUUUUGACAUUUGUACCCUAUUCAUUUCUAAGAUUCAUUCGGGAUUUCUCAUUCAUCGGAACGUUGUCAUAAUCAUCAUUGAUAAAUUUCAUGGGAAAAAAAUGUACAAUUCAUGCAAUACCAAAAUAUAAAAUACAUAACAUAAGGUAGUAUCUUUUACACAUGAACUUACCUCGACACUAAAGUUAUCAAAAAGUGACCUAACCAUCGAUUCCUCGUUUUUCCUCUGUUCUAGGUCCAAACCUCAAUUUCUUCGAUCUAUAAUGUCACAUUUAGUCUAAUUAUUAGUCACAUUAUUCAAUGUGGUCCAAAUAUCAUAUUUUAGCAAAAUUAUGUUUUUGCUCUUGAACUUUGUCAUAAUUACACUUUUUCCCCUAGACUCGUAAAAUGAAAUCCACUCAAUUUCUUUGUUACCCAAGCCUAGUCGAACCAUUUUCAUAACUAUAACGUCUCAAAAAUUUCAUUAAAACACACUCUUACUACACAUUUUAUAACUUUCUCAAAACGGUCCUUUUUGCACCUUUUUUACCAAAAAAUACUUUAACACAAGAUGUUUAUCUAACACCCAACAUUCAUUUUCUUCCAUUAGAUAUCAAAACACAAGCAUGUCCUUCAUGGGUAAGUUUUUAGACAUGAGCCCUAGCUUAAAAUAAUGGUAGAAAUAGGUAAAUCGAGUUACAGGAACUUCAAAAAUAUAAAGAACUUUGAAAACGGGGCUAGGGAUCACUUACUAUUGAGCUUGAAAGUUUGAACAAAACCCUAGCCAUGGCUUCUAUAGGGGUUUCGGCUGGAGCAAGAAGAUGGAGGCCAAUUUUGGCUAUUUUGGGCUUUUAAUUCACUUAUUUACUAGAUUACCUAAAUGUUUCUAACUUAAAAAUUGUUCAUUUCACCUAUCUCAUGUCCAUUUUUGUCCAAAAAAUGUCCAAUGGUCCAAUUAAUAUAUAAAGACCUCUAAUUUAAAGUCCAUAGCAAUUUGAAACCUUUAACAUCUAAAACUCACAUUUUGCACUUUUUACGAUUUAGUCCUUUUGACCAAAUAAGUGCCCAAACAUCAAAAUUUUUAAAUGAAAAUUUCACGAAUUCAUUCUGUGAAAUUGUAAUAUCCUGAAUUAGGGCUUAAUCGGAAUAAUGGUUUCGUAACCACAAAUUCGAGAUAGAAAUAAUUAUUUUAUAAUUAUUUUGAUGAUUAUUAUAUGAUUGCAUGAUUUUGUGAAAAUUUCAUGAUGAAAUUCUAUGCCUAAAGUGCUUAAAUUGAAAGUAGGGACUAAAUCGAAUAAGUUGCAAAAUUUGCAUUCUAGAAGUUUUUAGUAUGAAAUUGCAUUGAAAUAUUAAUUAAGAGACCUUAAAUAGCAAUUUUACCAAUUUUAAGUUCACGGACAAAAUUAAAACAUGGAAGGAAUUUUAAACUUUAGUAAGGAGGGGCAUUUUGGUUAUUUGGAUAUUAAAUGAAAUAAAAUGGGAAAAAUAACACAAAAUUGGUCAUCAUCCUCCUUAGUUGCAUCCGAAUUCUCCCUCUCUCUAUAGCUAGGGUUUCUUCAACUUUCAAGCUCCAUAGUAAGUGAUUCCAAGCCCCGUUUUAAUGUUCUUUACAUUUUUGGAAUCCCGGAAGCUCGAUUAAGCUUAUGCUAGCAAUAAUUCAACCUAGGGUUUAUAUUUGGAAAAAUACCCAUAGGUGAAAUUUGUGUAUUUUGAUGUUUUAUGAUAGAAUAUGGGGUUUUAAAUUAUGUUAGACAACUUGUGAUACUCGGUUUUGAGUGAAAACGAGUAAAAGGGCUUAAUCGGUAAAAAUACCUAAUAGUCACAAGUAUAUGUUAGAGUGAGAAUUUGAUGUUGCCAUAGAAGGGAAAAGUGAUCAGCAUAUUAUAAAACAUAAGAAUAAGGAAUAAAGUAUAAUUCCCGGGCCUAGGGGUAAAAGUGUAAUUAUGCAAAAGUUUAGGGGCAAAAGUGUAUUUUUUUCAAAGUUUGUAUUAAAAGUUGUUUUGAUGAAUGUAUGUAUUAAAUAAGAUUAAUUUGGUAUUAUAGAUCAAGAGAAACGAGAUUCAAGUCGCGAUCGAAGAAAAGAAAAGAUUGUGGACUAAAUUGCAAAAUCUUUAUAUUUUGGUACCAAUGUAAGUUCAUGUGUAAAUAAUGUAGCAUAAUUAUUAUUUUUAAAUUAUUGAUGUUAAUUAUAUGAUACGCUGAUUUUUAAUCGUGAAAUAUUAUGCUUUGUGGUUAAUGUUGAGUAAUAUGCAAAUUAUGUUUACUACUUGAUAAAUAUGAAUUGCUACCGAGUAUUAAUUCUGAUAUUCCAUAGAAGACGACAAAUGUGAUAUCGAGGGAAAAAGCCCGUUUGAACCUUAGGAAUAGAUUAGGAUACAAGUGACAUGUCACUAGGAUGGUUGAGCAUCCGAACUCGCUGAGUUGAGUCCGAGUUCACUUAUGGAUGCGAAUGUCUGAACUCGUUGAGUUGAGUCCGAGUUCGUGAAAUGUAACUAGGAAUCCGAACUCGUUGAGUUGAGUCCGAGUUCACUUAUGGAUGCGAACGCCCGAACUUGUUGAGUUGAGUCCGAGUUCACUUAGGGGCGGGUUACAUGAUUUCUUGAUUACAUAUGAGGCACUUAUGUGCAAAUUAUCCGUGUAUCCGAGUUGUAUUCUGAUGUGUUCAACGGGUGAAAAUUUCUAGUGAAAUGGAAGAACACUUAAGAUGCAAGCGACGAUAUGGUAAGUGUUGUGAAAUGGACACUUUGGACAGGUAUGUUCUUAACCCUCGGGUUGAAAUUAGAUACAACAACGAUAAGGUGGUAAGAUGAUGAAUGGUGUUUAGAAAUGUGAUAUAUGUUUUGGUGAUACCAUGCUAAAGUUGUUUGGUAUAUUUGUAUUGUUAUGUUACUUGUUAUUUACAUAUGAACUUACUAAGCAUUUAUGCUUACUCCCUCCUCUUUAUUUACUGUAGUUUUGAACAAGCCAGCUCGGGAAUCAGGACGGGUCGAAGGUUCGAUCACACUAUCCAAAGGACUUUCAUCUGGGUAAAUGGCUUGUAAAACUUAAGUAUGGCAUGUAUAGCAAUAUAUUUAUUUUGUGUAAAUAAUUUUAUGAUAUAGCAAUGAUUGGUUGAGAAAAUGUUUGAUAUUGAUAAGUCAUGGUGAUGGUUAAAUUUAGAUCAUGUUUGAUAUCAUGGAAGUUUAAUAGGUUAUCUAGUUCAUAACAACUCAUGAAAAGAUGAAACUUGCCUUAAAACAGAAUAUUGCUGCAGCAAUGACAUGAAUUUGAAAAAUCACUAAAAAUAGUAUAAAUGGAAAUAAAUGAUGAGUAAGUUAUGAAAUUGAAUCUUAAUGAGUCUAUUUUCAUGUAGAUUGAACAAAACAGGCAUAUAAAUUAUAUUUUAUGAGAUAUUUAAACUUUUGCGAAACGAGGCCAGAGUGAUUUCUGGAUCCCCUAUUCUGAAUUUAGAAAUUCAUAAUAAAUUUUAAAAAAAAUAAUUAGAAGUUUUUAUUUAUAUUUACAGAUUCCUUAUUGAGUCUAGUUUUAAUAGAAACAAACCUCAUAUCAUUGAAAUUCUUUAUAGAGAGAUAUCUAAUUCGUAAUACACAGAGGUCAGAGCAGUCGAACCCUGAAACAGGGGAGACUUUAACUAAUAAAUUGUACUAAUUGGCCCAACCAAAAAUUCUAGAAAAAAAUUAAUAAAUAGAUAUAUGAGUCUAGAUUUAGGGAAAAUUUACGGAUCUUGAUUUCGAGUUUUGUAACUCAAGAUAUGAUUUUUCUUGUAACUGUGACGUGGGUAGCUAGAAAGCUGUGAAUGUAGAAACAAAUGAUUUGAAGUUCUUAAUUUGAUAAAUUAUGUUCGGUAACUCCUCAAGCUCGACUCCGGCGACGGUUUCGGGCGUGGGGGCGUUACAAAAAUCGUGGACCAUAAAAAUGCAAUAAAAAUAAAUUUUCUUAUGUCGAAUUUAUGGUCCCGAAACCACUGUUCAGACUAGGCCCAAAAAUCAAGAUGUUACAGUAUAAGUAGGAAUAGCUUAGAGGACGACCUUUAUGAAAACUUCCUUCUCGCCUUGAGAGAGGUGUCUAGUACUCCAAUUGUCAAUCCGCUUCUUAAUUCGAUCUUUUAAAAUCUGGAAUGUUUCCUUUUUUUCUUCUUCUAACCAUAUUUGGCAGUCCAAGAUAGCGUUCCAGGUCAUUUGAACUUCAUACCCUCAGAAUGUUUUCAACUGCUUGUUUAUCUUCCAUUACUGUAUUUUUGCUAAAAAAGACAGUAGAUUUUUCAAAGUUAACACAUUGGCCUGAACAGAUCUUGUAUUCCCUUAGAAUUCCCUUCAAUAGUGUGGCUUCUCUACUAGUCACCUCGCUAAAUAAUAUGCAGUUAUCUGCAAAUAACAAAUGUGAUAUCUGCGGACCUUGUCUGUUGAUUUUAACUCCUUUCAAUGAUCCUUCUCUAACUGCUAUCUGCAUUAAACAAGAAAGUUCUUCUCCAAAAAUAAGAAAAAGAAAUGGUCUUAAAGGAUCUCCUUGUCGAAGUCCCCUAGACGGUUGAAGCUUUUCUCCUAUUCACCCAUUAACCACCACUGUAUAAAACACUGAAGCCAGACAUUUCAUAAUAGUAUCUAUCCAAUUUAUCGUGAAACCCAUUCGAACCAUCAUUUCCUUAAUAAAAAUCCAUUCAACUCUGUCGUAUGCUUUACUUAUAUCUAACUUUACAGCCAUAAAACCUUUUUUCCCUAAUCUCUUUUGAUUUAGUGUAUGGAGAAUUUCAUAGGCUAGCAAAAUGUUAUCUGGAAUCAGCCUUCCUAGUACAAAAACGCUCUGAGCUACAUCAAUGCAUUUCUCAAUAACUCCUCUAAAUUGAUUUGCAAUAACUUUAACCACAAUUUUGUAAAUCACGUUGCACAAACUUAUAGGCCUAAAUUGCUUCAUAGUAGAAGGAUUGACAAUUUUUGGAAUGAGUACUAUAUGCGUUGCAUUUAUCUAUUCAACCUCCGUACCAUCAUUGAGAAUUUGUAGACAAAAUUCGACCUCACCAUCUCCAAUAAUAUGCCAGCACUUCUGGUAAAAAACAACCGGUAAUCCAUCUUCUCUUGGGACUUUUGUAGGACCCAUCUCAAACACCGUCAAGAUUGUAGGGUUGUCACUGUGGGGAUUGAUGAGUUUAACAAGUUCAUUGAUGAUUCCGAGUUAGUGGACUUACCUUUAAAGGGUAAAGCUUUUUCCUGGUUUGGACCCUAAAAUAGCAGGAGCUGGCUUGAUAGGUUUUUGGUGUCUUCGGAGUGGCUCUUGCAUUUUGCUUAUUUAACUUGAAGUGGGUUUAAAAGAUCUAUUUCAGACCAUGUUCCCAUUCUGCUCUCGCCGAAAGAUGUCGAUUGGGGUCCUAGGCCUUUCAAGGUCUUGAAUUAUUGGUUCUCGAGUAGUGACUGUAUGCGUAAACUUAAGGAGGUCUAUCAAAAUGCUCCCUGGCAUGGUGAUGUUGGGUAUUCAUUGUUAGUUAAAUUAAAGACCAAAAAAGCUUUUCUUAAAAGGUGGAAUAGGGAGGAGUUUGGUAAUAUUGAUACUAAAAUGGAGAAUCCAGAGAAAUUGGUGGAUGAAUUGGACACUUUGGGUAUCGCUAGAGAAUUAAACGUGACAGAGUUAGAUUUGAAGAGGAGGUUUCAAGCCGAGUUAUGGAAGGCGCUUCUUUAAACAGAGUCUAUUUGGUGACAAAAUCCAAAGCAUUAUGGCUUAAAGAAGGUGAAAGAAACACUCACUUUUCAACGUAUGGAAAAAAUAAAAAAAAAUAGUGGUUGUGGGCCUAUUCGUGAAUGACCAGUGGGUCUCAGCUCCAAAACUAAUAAGAGGAAGUGUCUUGGAGUUCUUAAAAAAAUAAUGGAAUUGUAAUGACCCGUAAGUUAGGGGUGUCGGAAAACAUGCUAUCGGAACUCCGUUUUCGUAGACCGAGCUCAUAAAAUAUUAUAUUAUUUAAAGUUUGGAGUUACAUUAGAAGUAAAAUUGGAUGAUAGUUAGAUAAUUUCAAUUAUUAGGGUUUAAAUUAAAGUAUGAGGACUUAUAUAUGAUAGAAGUAAUGGUUAAUAUUAAAUUACAUGGUGAAAUUAUAAUAAGGAGGGGGACUUAGUAAACAAAUAUACCAUUAUUGUUAUAAAUUGAGUUAGUGGAAAAUUAUUAUUGAAAUCACAUAUUAUAUGAUAAAUAUAUAUUAUUAGUUAUUUAAUAAGUUGUGUUUAAAUAAAAAUAAAGAAAUGAUAAAAUAUAUAGAGAAACAAAUAGAUUAGUGGGCGAAAAAGAAAAAAACAAUUUCUCUUUCUUCUUUUCUAUUUUUAAAAGCUCAAUUGGUUGGUAUUCUUUGAUCAUUUUAGUAUAAAUUUGGUAUUUUUGGAAUAAUAAGAUCUUGAAUUAAUUUAACCAUGUUGGAAAUUUUAAAUUUAGUGAAGUUUAUGUAAGUUGUCAUUGUAGAGAAUUUGAGUUCUUAGUGUUAUUACAUCAAAUAUUAAGUUUAGUAAAUAAAUAGAAAUAUUUGCUAAAUGAUUCUUGAUGAUAUUAGGAUUCAAGGAUUAAAUUAUGAGAAUAAUAGGUUUAAGGAUUAAAUUGUAAUUUAAUUGAAAGUAUGAGUUGUUCUUGGCCCUAUGGAAAAAUUGGUUGAUAAGAGACCUUCUUAAUUUUAAUUAAUAACAUGUUUUAGAAUUGAUGAGUAAAUUGAAUUGAACAUUUAUGUUGAAUGAGAAAAUGUGAAAUGUGGUUAAAAGAUUAAUGGUUUGAGUAAAUGUCUCUUGGUGAUUAUUAAUUAAAUUAAUUAUGUGAUUAAUUUUUUAUCGAGAAACAAAAAGAUCGAUUGGUAAUCACAGAAAAAGAAGGUUGUCGAGUAACCGUUCUCGACCUUAAUAGCCAUCACAAUUCUAUAAGUUCGUAGUCUCAAACUUAAUCUUUUUAUUAAUAAUUUAUUUAAUUGAUAAUUACAUAUUAUUUAAAUACAUGAUUACAAUCUUAUGUUCAUAUUUGAAUGAUGAUUUCAAUUAAUGAAUGAGGAAAUUUGUGAAAAUAAAUAACUUUUUAUUCGUCAGUUUAUUCGACUAGCGUUGGCGCAAAUAUUGUUGGUAUAUCCAACUAGAGCUGGGCACAAAUAAUGUUGUUAUAUCCAGCUAGAGCUAGGCUUACUAAUUAUUUGUCGGUUUAUCUGGCUAACGCUAGGCGCAACUUCCGUCAAUUUAUUUGACUAGUGCUAGGCACACAUUUGUUGGUUUAUCCGACUAGCGUUGGGCACAAACUCUUUCAUGGUUUAUUCGUUAGGCACUAGGUGUCAUGUAUCAAUUGGACUAUAUAACAAGGUUAUAUGAACCAUUGAAAAAGGUUGGUUAUAGAUAUUACUAAGGAAGAAUUAUAUUUACUUAUGUAUAUAUGUAUUCAUUGGAAGAUAUGAUAUAUUUCUUGAAUUAGAUCAUUAAAGUUGUGAGGUUAAUUUAAAUGCUUUAGAUAUAUUUGUGGUUAUUCAAAUAAGUGAAAUCAAAUUAAUAUGGAUCGGUUCCCAUGUUUAUAGGUUAGGUAAAUAGUAGACUCGAACUUAGUAUCCUACAAGAAUCCCAUACUCAACAUCAGUGAUGUUCUUUUUUGUGUUUUUGGCAUGUAUCUAGGGUGUAUUAGUGAAUUAAAAUCUUUUGAUUCUAGAUAGUUUGUAAGGGAUGUUUUGUAGUGGUAUGUUGUGAAUAUGUUAAUCGUGUUUUGGUAUCUAUAUGUUUUGAAGUUUGUAUUUGGUUUGGUGAACCAUAACACCUCACUAAGUUAUGUCAUUUUGGUACUUUAAAAUGCUUGUAAAUAAAAUACUCUUGGUAUGUUGAUGAUAGUUUGGAAAUGGUUAUUUAUGGCAUAUUUGGCACAUAAUUGAAUUAGGUUACCAUGCAUGAAAUAAGGCAAUAUUGGCAUGUUUUGAUGGUUGAAGUUUUGGUACAAUUGUGGUGCCUUUAAAUGACAUAUUGGCUAGGUGAAUUAGGUUGUUUGAAAUGGCAUGUUUAUGUAUGUUUGUAUGAUAUUUGAACCCCUUGAAGAUGUAACCAAAUUGUAUGAAUGGUUAAGUAGGAUUUGGUUUUGGAGUGGCUUGAUUCUAGGUAAAUUUUGGGUUCACACGGGCUAUCACAUAGUCGUGUGAGGCACACGGCCUAGCAACACAGUCAUGUGUCAUCUGAGAAUUUUCUUAAGGUUCAAGUCAGUGAGUUACACGGCUAAGCAUACAGACGUGUGAGGCAACUAAGAGAGUUACACGGCCUGGCACACGACCCUACUCAAUGAGUUACACGGGUGAGGACAAGGCUAUAUGUCCCUUAUUUGAAAGUUACACGGCCUGGGGCUAUGUCAUAAGGCCUCGCCACACGACCGUGUGACUCUUGUUUUUUAAUUUUUGCAUCUUUUUCUUAAACUUUCUACUUUGUUUCAAAUUAGUCCCGAACUGCUUCUAUGAUAUUUUUAAGGCCUCGAAGGCUCGAUUUAGGGACAAAGUGCAUAUGAUUGGACGAAUUAUGAUAUGUUUAAUCUAUUUGAAUAUUAUAAUGUUAAAUGUUUCCAAUUGUAUGAUAAUGCUCCAUAACCUUAAUUUGGGAACGGAGAUAGGUUAGGGGUGUUACAGGAAUGUUGUGGAAUGAGUUGGUUUUUAGGAACUAAUCUAGUUUUGAAAAUAUUUCUAUGGAGGAAGCUAGAUAUUUGGAGAGACCAUGUUCCUUGGAUGAAAUCAAAGCUACCAUUCGGGAUUUGGAUUGAUCCAAAUCUCCGGGGCCUCAUGGUUUUACCUUACAAUUUUAUGGUUAAAGUUUGGACUUCAUCAAAGUGGAGGUGUUGGAGACAAUGGUUGAGUUUUUUUACUAAUGCGAAACUUUCAAAAGGGUGCAAUACAUCCUUUACAACACUUGUUCCUAUGGUUGGAAGCCCCCAAUCUAUCAAGGACUUUCAACCCAUUAGCUUAUUUGGGACUGUUUACAAGAUUGCAAGUAAGGUGCUGACUACCAUAUUGAGGGAGGUAAUCAGUAAACUGAUUAGUGAUGAACAAUGUGUGUUCGUGGUAGACAAACAAAUCAUUGAUGGUAUUCUAUUAGCAAACGAAGUAAUUCAUUUCCUACAGAGUAAAGAAGGGGACAGUAUGUUGAAAAUUGAGUUCGAGAAAGCAUAUAAUUUUGUUAAAUAGGAUUUUUUGCUUCAUCUUCUUGAAUGUAUAGGUUUUGGUGCAAAAUGUUGAGGUUGGAUAAUGGAGUGUCUAUCAAUGGAAAAUUUUCUAUUUUUUUGAAUGGUUCCCCAAUAAAACAAUUUCGUGUGAAGAGAAGACUAAGCCAAGGUGAUCCUAUUUUGCCUUUUCUAUUUAUUAUUAUCACUAAAGCCCUUUUAUAUGAUGCUGAUGGAAAAAGAGAAUAAAUUAGCCUAAUAUGCCAUUUUUGUUUUUUAAUUGACAUAUUAGGCCAUUUUUUUGAAAUUUAAGGAAAUAGGUCAAUUUUGGAGAGAGUGUGUGAAGCGUGUCCAGUUGGGCACACUUUUACACUCUCUCUCCUCGAUCUCCUUUUUUUAGGGUAAUGUUUAGGGUUUUUGGUUAAGAAUUACAGUUUAGUGUAUAGGGUUUUAGGAGUGAAACUGUGAAACUUUAUAGUUAGAUUUGAAGGGUCGAGGAUGUGAUAGUGUGUAUCAAAACACAUACAUUUAAUAUGGCAUGUCGGGGUAGGACCACCACAUUAGAAACCCAUCUUAUGAAAGUCAGGUUUUAAGGUGGCAGUGCUUGAUAUGGUCACGAGUCGAAGUCUAAGUAGAGAUCCAAAUCGACGGUUGUGAUGCGGUCACUGGUUCGAGUAUAACUGAGGGCAAGUUGACGGUUGUUACGCGGUAAUGAGUUCAAGCUUUUUGGAUACCUUCAAAUGAUGCCUUAUAUAUACCAUACAUAAAAUUGAGGCCAAAAUCAUAGGGAAAAAUGAAAGGCUUUCCAAAGUAAUCAAUGUAAUUUUUUUCUCUAUUUCCAGGUAGCAAGUAUCUUUAAUCUUUCAUUCUUAUCAAAAGACUGACACCGAGGAUAACAUAAGAGGGCUCUCAAGUGGAGAGUAGAUGUUUUGGCAUAGUAAAGGUCAAACUAGAGUCGAUGCAGAAUCAUUUUUAGUUAUUAAUGAGUUGUUUAAUAAUGACAAAUGUUGUCGCCCCAAAAGGAACAUCACCUUUAUUACACCGCAACAGUCGCUACCUACAUGUUCUAUGUCCAGGUGAUGCCGGCCUUUGGAUAAGAAGGAAGAUUAAAGAUAUCGGUUGCGUAGAGAUGGAGUAAAAAAUUAUACCGAUUAUAGUGAGAAGCCCCAUAAUUUUUUUGUAUAAUUAUUGUAACGAAUUGUAACAUGUUUACACAAGUGUACGUAGUCGUGCAAGUAAUAAGUAAGUAAAAAUAAGUUAUCGUCUCAACAAGGACUGUAUAAGCUUAACCAAUUAAUUGCAAAAUUAUAAAUAACUAUUUGAUGUAAAAACUCAAUAAUUUUGGAUGAUGAUUAAAUUAGUUAUAUUAAUUAGAUACAAUUUACCUAAAUGAAUGAAUGAAUAGCUUUAGCAACAAACAAUCAACAUUAAAUAGGCUAGGAUAAUUAUAUUAAUCAAAUCAACUUACUUUAAUCAUGCUAAUGUGUUCAGAAUUACUUCCAUGGCAACUCUAUCUCUUAUGUGUUUGAAAACCAAAUUAAGUCCUCUCAGAUUUUUUACUUAGUUAAAUAUGCAUGUUAGUAAUUAUAUUAAACUAAGGGUUUCUUAGAAUUUAUCCAAGGUCACAGGAGCAUUUACGUUUGCUUCAGUUUAAUUACAUAAACCUAAAAACUAUGCAAGGCAAUAGAGCUAACUAAAGAUAUUACGAACCUUAACUUAGUCGGUUUUAAUGACCUAAAUUAAGUAUUGCACUUUUCAAUUAUGCGUCUACUAGCCGUCGUUUGGUUAGGAUUGCUCAACUAAUCUGAGUGCACCAAAUCAUGUAUGAAUGAAAUGCAUCAUGAUAUUAAUUGAAAACAUAAUUGAUUGAGGCACAAAACAUGUUAACAUGAAUUACAUAAAUCUCAUUAAAUUAAUAUAAUCAUUCUAGCAGAUAGGAAUUAAAAAUUCAUAGUUGAUGUCAAAAACAUCAAACACAAAGCAAACAUGUUUAAAAUAAAUGACAAGAGGAAAGAGUUUGCUCAGUUCAACAACCUUUUGAAUCUAUUCUGACUGAUUUGCUCAACUCUGUUCAGUUUAGCAGCCUUUCGAAUCUAUUCUGACUGAAGCGCUCCAUUCUAAUUGAAGCUUCUUCUGCAAAGGGUUUAGAAGGUAGCUGGCUAAAGAGUAAUUUUGAAAAAAACUUUUGAGGCUAAAGAAGGAAGAGGAUAUGGACGGCUAUGGAAAAAAGGGAAAAGGAAUUGAGAGAAAACUAUUGAGAGUGAGAGAACAAUGUUGAGUGAUAAGAGAUGAUGGAAAAGUGAAGAAUGGCAAGGUAUUUAUAGGUGAAGGUAAAGGGUUGAGUUUCUAAAAAUAGGUUUAAAUUUCCUUCAUUCCCUCUCUCAUGAUGCCAACCAUGCUUCAAGGAAAGGGAUGACCAAGUCUUCUCAAUUUGAAUUCGAAUUUCAAGCUAAAAAUAGCUAUAGAGUGGACAGUUUCAACAGGGAAGUUGUUGGGCUGAAUUCGGAUUAUUUUCCAACUGCAAGGACUUUCCAUUAAAUAUCCCAAAACACAUUUUGGGCAGCCAACAUCAAGUGUCAAAAUUGGGCUUUUCAUUCUCCUUGUUGGACGGUUUUUUCAAUCCAAUAACUUAGCAGACAUGUCCAUCUUUUAUCACCUUCUUUGCCGUGUCAAGUAGUCAACCCUAUGCCCGAAAUUGCAUGGUCUUGCCAUCCACAUGGAUAAUUUGUACAUGACCAUCUUUUAUUUAUUUAAAUCGUCUCCAAUAGCCUACUUACAUAGUGAAAAAUACAUACAUUAAUAAAUUAACAUGAAUUAAUAUAAAAUAUGCAUGAAAAUCAUGUAAUUAAGAAUAAUUUCACAUACUUUCCAAAUUCAUGUCUAAAAUUACUUAACUCACUUAUUUCAAUAAUAAUUACUUGAGAUAAACAUAAUAAUUAAGUAAAAAGAUGGUAAAAAUAUAUAGAAAAACCUUAUAAAUUUUGAGUUUACACACCCCCAAAACUUAAAUCAUUGCUCGUCUUGAGUAAUGUUCAUGCAUAGCACAAUUUUUUCUAAGGCAAUUUUGCAAAAUCAUAAGGCAGCAUCAAUCUUAGUACAUAAUCAUGCAUCAACAAAAUCAUGCUCAAAAAUACUUUUUUAUUGAUAAAUAGCUCAAAUGCAAAUAUUAUUUCUAACUUUAUACUAAGUACAUCAUAAUAUCAACAUGAAUCAUAGUUUGCAUGCAUUUUCAAAGUCAUACAUAACAUUCACCAAUCAAUAUGCUUCCCUUAUCAACUAAACAUAGCAAUCUCAAGGUUUAAUUAGUGUCUUCAUAUGUUGAACUUAGUAAUCCAUCUCCACUAAUGUAGUCGGUAUAAUCAUCUAAUCAAUAGGUCUUUUAUUAAGUUGUAAUGGGCUAGGCUAAAGGUAAGGAUAAAGAGAAGUGAAUUUUAGGUUCAAAACAUCUUAACACAAAUUUUCUCUUGGAUCCUUUUCGUGUAACAACUCUCAUACAAAUAGGUCUUUGGAGUAACCCCAAACUUAUUUCAAACUUAUGCUCCACUUUUAUUUUUCUCGAACUUUGAGCAAACUUUGCUCUUUAUUUUUGAGACUUUGAGCACUCCUUUAUUUGCUCUUAUUUUUCUGCAUUUGAGCAAACUUUUCUUUGCUUUUUAUUCUUCAAACUUACAUUCAUCUAUUUUUUUUAAAUAAUGUGAAGAGCAUGUACAUCUUUUUGUAAUUUUCCUCAAACUUUAAUCACCAAGACAAAUUUUUGGUUAAGAUAGCUGCAAAAGAAUAGGAUAAAAAUACAAAAGAUAUUAAUGUGGCUUAUAGUGUAGGUAAUUUGCAAUGAACAAGCCGUUAAGCUCAAAAUUAAGUUUCAAGAGUUAAAUUUCAUAAGGUCGGCUUGAAAGGCUCAAACAAUCCAAAAAAGUGUGUUUAUAUCAUAUUAGAGUCUUAUACCUCCUAGGACUUCACCUCAAGAAAGUUACUAAGUCAAUUUUAAAGACUUAAACCUUCAUACAUGUCUAUUUCUAAAGAAAUCAAAUUUUCAUGGAAAAUCCUACAUAAGACUAAGAUCAUACAAGCAUUUCAUUACUCAAGAUAACAUAUGAAUAACUUAGAUAAAAUAAAAAAAUCAUGCUUGCAUUUGAACAUACUUAUGAACAAAAAUUCUUUCUGGAACAUUCAUUCAUUUUAGCAUACUUAAGAAAAAAGAUUGAAACAUACUUCAAAAUUUAUGCGAAAUACCUUAUUAAAAAUUCAUGCGAAAUGCCUUACCCCAUUUAAAAAGAAGCAAUGUCCUUAUUGCAAAAAUAAAAUAAUGAAUGAAAACUAAACGCCAGGUAGGGUUGCAAGAAAAGAGAGGUGAGUCAUAAAGACUGCUUAAAUACCAAGUCUUUCACACAAUCCAAUCCUAGACAUCCCAUUACCAUGUCAUUUUAUUUUCUUUCUAUUAAAGAGGCAUUGAGCUUAUUUUAUUCAUGCUUUCUAUUUUAUUAUAUGAAAGCAAAAUACUAACUAAGAAAUAAAAAAAACACCUAAAAAGAAAUAAAAACUAAGGGAAAAUAACUUGCCCUUUUUUUAUUUAUUUCACUUAUCCUACUUAUCUUUCUCUUUUGAUGUUUCAUCCUCGCUUGCAUUCUCAUCUUCCUUCCAUGAUUCGAAGAUAUAAUCUAAGAACUCAGGAAUAAAAUUGUUAGAGAUAUUUUUAAAAAUAUUUCUUACGUAAUCAUCUCUAACUUUUGCAUAUUUCUAAUAAGCCUGUUGUUGGUUAUGCAUAAGUUUAUCAUAUCCAUCAUAAUUGACCACUUCAAUUUCUUCACAAUGUUUGAAGAAGUGGGCAUUGGAUUAGUCAACUCCAGAUCAAUACCUGGUUCAAAUGGCUCAUCAGUAUUCGACUCUUCUCUUGGUUUAGAGACUUCUGGUUCCUUUAUUAGUUCAGGCUCAUUCGGUUCUUCCUCCAAUUUUGCUUCUUCUAUCUCAUCAACUGAGUCAGCUUCUAUUUUGGAUUUGUACAAUGACUCACCAGUUUCUGGUUCUCUUGGUUCAUUCAGUUCAGAUGGGUUUAGUUCAUGGACAUUCUCCCCUAAUCUUUCAAGGAUGUAAUGCAACCUUGAACAUCCGGGGCCCUUUAGGUUUGCUUUUGUCUUGACUUGGGCCCUUAAGCAAAGUGAAGUUAUCAAUUAUGAAAAAUAAACACUUUCGAUCUUUUUUCUAGCACAAUCAUGGGGCUCUUUAAGAAUAAUCUUCCCAACAUUGAUGGACCUUUCUGUCAUAAUUACAUACAAUAAAAGUAUUCACUCCAUCGAGAUAGUGGAAUUGUGUGAGAUAGACAUGAAACUAUAACGAACAAAGUAAAACCAUACCUUAACGAACAGCUUUAAGUAUUCCCUUCGGCAAUAAUGACUACCAUACUUUCUUAUAGUCCAUUGGGAUCCCAGAUUUAUCACAACAUUAAGUAUUUGUUGAAGAAAAUCCCAAUUUAUGUUUGUCAUCAUGAAAAAGUACUCAUCUUCUUCAACAUUAAGUAGGUUAAACAAAUCAUUAAUGGAUUUAGAAGUUAGGGGUACAUUCUUCUUGUGAAUAAGAACUUUAGUAGCAUCUGGCUUAGUCAAAUUGACAUAGAACUCUCGAACUAACUCCUCAUCGGGUCAUGAUCGUGUAUCGCAAAAAUAAUUCCAAUUGAGGGCAUCAAUCGUCUUCUGAACUAGCAAAGGCACAACCAUCUUAUCAUUGCUUUUCAAGUUGAAACCUUUUUUUUCUGGCAUCAUAGGUUGAUUCUUAAAGAUUGAAUGAAACUUUUCUUUCACUUCUUCAUCUUGAAUCACAAUGUGAUUUUCAGCAGAGGUUUUAGAAGAUCUAGUUCUUUUGCGCAAUGUAGACUUUUUUCCCGAAAAAUAAGUAAUAUUUUGGCAAAAGAAUUGAAAAAGCAAUCGUCAAAGGAUGAGAGCAAGGUGUUGUAGUGACGAUCAAUUUGCAGCAGGAACGAGCUUGCAGUGGCAUAAAGCUUAUGAUGGCGAUAGAAUGCGACGGUGAUAAGGAUACAACGACAAAAGGGCUACUCUGGCAAAACUAUUGUGGUGGCAAUACUAGGAGCUUGUGACAAGGAAGAAAAUUUUUGGAGAAAUUUUAGGAUUUAGGCCAAGGCUAAGAGGAAAAAGAAUGAGUGGUUUAGGGUUUAGCUAAUAGCUUGAAGGGUUGUGAAAAUUAUGAAGGUAGAGAGAGGUUUAUAUAAUGAUGAAUUAGGGUAAUUUUAUAGCUAAAAUUUAGCUAAUUUAAGUGACUUGGAUGGAAAGUAUAGAUGAAAAAGUGGUGGUAAAAAUUAGGGUUUUGGGGAACCCUAUGGACAGCAACAAUGGGUAAAUUUCACCUCUUUGCUAUUCAAGCCUUAAGCCUAAUUAUAUUUACAAACUAGACUGCUUAGAAAUAAAUAAACUAAUUGGUGUUUGGGCAAUUUGACCACAUUUAUUAAACAUAAAUAAAAUAAAGAUUAAAAUUAAAAUUAAAUACAAAGAAAAAAAUGAAAACUAAAAAUAAAAAUAAACAUUUUAAAAUUAAUUAGAAAUUUUCUUCUCAAAGAAUUACAAUGAAUUAAUUCUCAUGAAAGGUUGAAGGGGUCACAACGGUCUCGCUUAAGUUCCAAUCUCCUUAGAUAGAAUUAAUUAAAUGUACUAAUUUAAGAAAAUAAUUUCUAUUUUUUUUAUUAAAAAGUAGGUUUAUGAAAAAAUAAAGGUCUCUUAAUUUGAACGAGGUUUUAAUUCCCUCAAUUUUACCAUCCCAAUAGUGCUUUAAAUGUUGACCAUUAACUUUAAACGUACCUCUAUGAUUGUCGUACAAUUCUAUAGCUCCAUAUGGAUAAACUUUGUGGAUGGAAGAAGGUCCUUUACAUCAGCGCUUGAGCUUUCCAGGAAAUAACCUUAGCCUUGAAUUAAACAACAACACUUUCUGUCCUUCUUUGAACUUACGAGGUUGAAUACGAUUAUCAUGCCAUCUCUUAUAUUUUUCCUUACACAUCUUGGCAUUCUCAUAUGAAAAUAACCUCAACUCCUCCAACUCAUCGAGUUAUAAUAUCCUUCUCUCACUAGCUUGCUUAAGAUCAAAAUUCAAUUGCUUCAAAGCCCAGUGAGCUUUAUUCUCCAAUUCAAGCGGCAAAUGACAUGCCUUUCCAAAAACUAAUUGAUAGGGAGUCAUCCCUAAUGCUGUCUUAAAAGCAUUUUGAUAAGCCCAUAAUACAUUGUUGAGUCUUCGAGACCAAUAAAUUAUGCUAGGGUUCACUACUCUUUCAAGUACACCUUUGAUUUCUAGAUUCACCCUUUAAACUUUCCCAUUCGAUUGUGGGUGAUAGGCAGUAGCAAUCUUAUGUUUUACAUCGUACUUGUCAAGCAACCACUUAAGCCACCUAUUCACAAAGUGAGAUCCUUCAUCGCUAAUUAUAGCUCUAGAAGUCCCAAACUGUGUAAAUACAUGCUUAUGUAGGAAUCACAUGACUACCUUAGCGUCAUUAGUUGGGUAUGCCUCAGCUUCAACCCACUUGGACACAUAGUCCACAGCUACCAAUAUAAACUUAUUACCAUAUAGAAAAGGAAACGAUCCUAGGAAAUUAAUGCCCCAUACAUUGAAAAGUUCUAUCUCUAAAAUAUUUGUCAAGGACAUCUCGUUCCUUCUUGAUAUGUUUAUGGUUCUUUGGCAUCUAUCACAGUUCCUCACAUAUGCAUAAGCAUCCUUGAACAAUGUAGGCCAAAAGAACUCAACUUGUAAAAUCUUUGCUGCUAUUCGUGAACAACCAAAGUGUCCCCCACUCAGAAAUGAAUGAAAGUGGUUCAAAAUUUUGUCAAUCUCACUCCCAGCUAUGCACAUCCCGAUUUUAUUAUUUGCACAUUGUUUAAACAAAAACGGGUCCUCCAAAAAAUAGUACUGACUAUGAUGAAGGAAUUUCUUCCUUUGUUGGAUGUCAUUUCUCGAGGAAUUAUUCCACUUGCUAAGCAAUUGGCAGAAUCAGCAAACCAAGGUGUUUUAUAAAUUUGACUUACCUUGAAAAUAUGCUCAUUAGGGAAAUUCUCAUUAAUUGGAAUAAAUGAAGAAGUUACCUCAUUUUGUUCUAACCUUGACAAAUGAUUGGCUACAUCAGCUACUUGAUUUUUUGUUCUAACCUUGACAAAUGAUUGGCUACAUCAGCUACUUGAUUUUCAACACCUUUUCUGUCUUGGAUCUCAAGGUUAAAUUAUUUAAGCAAAAGUAUCCAUCGAAUUAGCCUCAAUUUAGCAUCUUUUUCGUGAGUUAGUACUUAAUGGCAGCGUGAUCAGUAAACACUGUAACUUAGGUAUCUAUAAGAUUUGAAUGGAACUUGUCAAAAGCAAAAACUAUAGCAAAGAGUUCUUUUUCAGUUAUUGUAUAAUAGAUCUGGGCUCCUAUCAAAGUUCUACUUACAUAGUAGAUAGGGCAAAACACGUUGUUCCUUCUUUAGCCCAUUACAGCUCCAACAGCAAAAUCGCUUGCGUCACACAUAAACUCAAAACGCAUGUUCCAAUCAGGUGUGAUAAUUAUUAGGGUUAAAAUUAACCAGCUUUUUAAAUUCUUCAAAAGCUUCUAAACAUGCUUUGUUAAAAUUAAAAAAAACAUCUUUUCUAAAAGCAUACAUAAAUGUUUAGAAAUUUUUGAAAAAUCCUUUAUAAGUCUACGAUAAAAAUCAGCAUGGCGUAAAAAGCUUCCAACUCAUUUCACACUUACUGGAUGUGGUAAUCUUUCAAUUACAUCCACCUUUUCUUUAUUCACUUCAAUUCUAUUCUUGGAAAUUUUAUGCCCUCAGACAAUUCCUUCAUUAAUCAUAAAAUGGCACUUCUCCCAAUUAAGGAUGAGAUUAGUCUCCUCACAUAUUUUGAGUACCUUAGCUAAAUUAUUCAACCAAAUAUAGUAAGUAUUACCAUAAAUAGAGAAAUCAUACAUGAAAACCUCAACGUAAUUUUGAACCAUAUCAGUAAAAAUUGCCAUCAUACACCACUAAAAUGUGGCAAGUGCAUGAAAUAAGCCAAAAGGCAUUUUCCUAAAAGCAAAUGUACCAUAAGGACAAGUAAAAGUAGUUUUAUUUUAAUCUUUCGGGGCUACGACUAUUUGGUUGUAUCCCGAAUAUCCAUCUAAAAAGUAAUAAAAUUCUUUACCUGCCAGUUGAUCUAACAUUUGAUCCAUAAAAGGUAAAGAAAAAUGAUCCUUACAAGUAGCUUUGUUCAGUUUUUUAUAGUCAAUACAGAUUCUCCAACCCGUGACAGUUCUCUUCGGGGUUAACUCAUUUCACUCAUUUUCGACGAUCAUGAUUCCACCUUUCUUUGGUACACAUUGCAUCGAACUUACCCAAAAACUAUUUGAGAUGGGGUAAAUAAUUUCCGCAUCUAACCACUUAAUUACCUCCUUUCGAAUCACUUCUUUCAUGAUAGGGUUAAAUCUCCUUUGCUCAUCAAUCUUACCUUUUUACCUUCCCCUAAAACAAUUUUAUGCAUACAAAAGGAAGGACUUAUACCUCAUAUAUCAGCUAUUGUCCAAGCAAAUUCUUUUUUUUUUAAUUUCUUUAAAACAACAAUCAAUUACUCGUGUAAUAUCUUGAAUUAGGGCCCAGUCAGAACAGUGUUUCGAGACCACAGAUACGAAGUAAAAAUAAUUAUUUUAUGAUUAUUUUAUUCUCCAUGAUAUGAUUGCAUGUUUGUGUGAAAUUUUCAUGAAGAAACUUUAUGCCUAAAGUGUCUAAUUUGAAGUUAGGGACAAAAUUGAAUAAGUUGCAAAACUUGAGUUCUAGAAGCUUUAAGCAUGAAAUUUCCAUGGAUUACUAAUUAGAGGUCCUUAAAUAGUAAUUUGCCCAAUUUUUACUUUUAUGGACAAAAAUGGGCAUGAAUAGGAAAAUUUUGAAAGAAAUGCCUUAAGGACAUUUUUGUCAUUUGGUUAAUAAAAGAAUACAAAGGGAAAAAUAAGUCAAAAUUGUGUUCAUCUUCUUCAUGUUUGUGCCAAAAAUUCGAAGAGCCAUAGCUAGGGUUUUUCUUCAACUUUCAAGCUCGACUAUAAGUGCUCCUUAGCUCCGUUUUUAAUGUUCUUUACAUUUUUGAGAUCCUUGAAGCAUGAUCUAGCUAUUUCUACCAUUAUUUUAAGCUAGGGUUCAUGUUCAAAAACUUACCCAUAUGUGACAUGCAUGUAUUUUGAUGUUUAAUGGAGGAAUAUGAAAGUUUGAUGUAUGAUAAACAUAUUUUACUAAGUGAUUUUUCAUGAAAAUACCUAACAACAACCUUUUUGUAAAAGUUGUAAAAAUGAAUAAUAAAAAUCUGAUUUGAAGGAAAAUGUGGGUUUUUAUGAGCAUGUGUUAGAUUCGGCUAGGCUUGGGUAACAAAGAAAAUGGACACAUUUCAUUUUACGAGCUAGAGACUAAUUUGUAAAUAUGUGAAAGUUUAGGGGUAAAAUCAUAAUUUUUCCAAAAUAUAGUUUUUGGACUGAUUCGAAUAAUGUGAUGAUUAAAUGAGUUGAAUUUGCUAUUAUAGAUCAAGAAAAAUGGAGCCCGAACCUAGAUUGGGGAAAGAACAAGAUUUUGGACUAAAUCAAAUUAAUUGUCCAUAUUUUAUACCGAGGUAAGUUCAUGUGUAAAUAAUGUAAUGAUAUGUCAUGUUUUAAUAUUUUAUUUAUGUAUGAGUCUCUAUGUUUAAUUAUUAUGACAAGUGAAUGAACGACAUUAUUGUUGAUGAGCAUGACAUUGUGAACGAGUUCGACGAAUAUGUGAUAUCGAGAAAAUCCUGUUUGAACCUUAGGAAUAAUUUAGGAUACAAUGUGACAUGUCACUAGGAACUACAUGUGUUGAGCUAAUAAGAUAUGUGAUAUGUGUCUAUGUGAAUCUGGGUGCUAGUCUUGUACGUUCUAUCGGUGGCUAGGUAGCCUGGCAUGUGUUGCAGGUACCUGUCAGCUUGUGUGAGCAGUCCGAGUAGUUAUAUCCUGACUGUCAGCUUGAGUGAGCAAGCCCAUGAUUAGCUCGAGAGAGAGCAAUGUGUGAUUUGUGAUAUAAGGUAGCCUGUUGCUAUGUUUGAAGCACUAUGUGCAAGGCUUCCGUGUAUCCGAUAGUAUUCCGAGUGUUCAAUGGGUAAAUCAGUGAGUUAUUCGACAAGUAAGUCAUUGAUGAGGAAAUAUUAGAAUGUAUUACAAGUUGGUACAGGUAUGUAUGAAAAACUCUUAUGAAUGAACUCAGAAUGUGAUGAUCUUUUGGUAAGAUCGAAAAUGUGUAAGUUAUGCCUAUGAAUUUAUGAUGACAUAUAUAUAAACUAUGUUAUGUUAGUGGUAUAUAUUUAUUCAUGAUUAUGUUGCUAUUUAUUUGCAUGUGAACUUACUAAGCUUUAUGCUUACUCCCCUCUCUUUCCCAUUUUUUUAUAGUAUCGCCAAGCUAGCUCAGGGAUCGAAGGAUGUCAGAGACUCGAUCACACAUCAAUUGGAUAUUUGGAUAUAGUUAGUUUCAACAUUUUGAGUAUAGCAUGUAUAGGGACUUGGUCUUUUGGUUAUAAGUCAUAUUGGGUUAGCCAAAUGUGUUGGCUUACAAUGAUUUGAUGAUUCAUUUUGUAUAUCGCCAUGAGAUAUGACUCAUAUUAAUUAUGGGGAUGUAAUCCUAUUGAUAUAUAUAUGCUUGUGCUAAGGUCAUUCAUGAUGUGGUUAAAUUCAUUUUGGCAUGGAUGAAUUGUGGAUAUGAUCAUAGAUGUUUGAUAAUGGAAUUGUAAGCAACGGGUUAAUAAAAACUAAGGUAAGAAUAUGUAAAAUGGAAGUAAAUUGAUGUUAUGUAUAUUGCAUGUGAUUUGGUAAGCUUAGCUUAAAUAAAGUAUGGAGUCUUAACAAGUACUAAUUGAUAAGAAGUUUAUAUGCAUGAGCCAUGGUUGUGAAUGUGUAAGUUCUCAUUUAUGCCAUUAAGUUGUCACUGAGAUGUAUAAGUGUGAAUGUGAUAUUAUGGGUGACAAAAGGCUUGGAAAGUAGCCUCGAAGUUGUACACACGGGAGUGUGUCUAGGCUGUGUGUGACACACAGUUAGCCCUAUGGGCAUGUGUUCCGUCCGUGUGUCCCCUGCACCCUAAUUAAUGCAAAACAGAAUGCCCAGUAGUAAACACACGGGCAGAGACACGGCUAUGUGUCUCAUUCGUAUGAAGGACACGACCUCGAGACAUAGGCGUGUGCCCAGGCCGUGUGAAGUCUACACUUAAUUUUUAGAAUUUAAUUCGUCACACGGCCUAAGCACACAGCCGUGUGACAUGGCCGUGUGACCCUAAUUGUGUUGAUGACAUCAUAAAUAGAGAGUUACACAGGCUGAGGACACGGACGUGUGUGACCACAUGGCCUAUCCACAGGGGCGUGUGACUCUCCAAAACAAGAAAUUUUUCUAAGUGCCACAAAAGUUCUGAAAGUUCUCAGUUUAGUCCUGAUUCGUUCUCAAUGUAUGUUUUGGGCCUUGUGGGUUCAUUUUAGGGACGAUAUGAAUGUAUGUGAAUAUUUUUAAUUUGGACGAAAAUUUUAUGCUCGAUUUUGUAUGUUUGCUUGUGUUUAAGUCUGAUAACACCUCGAACCUUGUCCCGGUGUCAAAUACAAGUAAUGGGUGUUACAGCUCGUCUUGAUAUCACAGGAAAAGUAGAACUAUUACUGAGAUAAAUGUAUUUUAAGUGAGACAAAAGCACUUUUAGUUCAAGUUUAGGCGGUUCCUCAAUUGACAACUUGGGUUGUGUAAAUUCUCAAAUUUCCAUCUCUAGCAGUUCAAACCCUAGUGGUUGAAUAUUACUCCUCAAAUUGGCUUCCAUCAAAGUCAAACCUUGAUUACCUUUUUUAUCUUCGAAUGUUUCAGAUUCUAAAGCGUUCUCUAACGGGUCUUCUUUAGAAUUGCUUUCUAUGGAAGCUAAGGUUUAUAAUUCUUCCAUCAUUGAACACUCUUCCAUUGAAUCGAGAAAUUUCAUUGCCUUUAGAAUGUUAAACGUUACCUUAUCAUCUUGAACUCACAUCGCGAGUUUGCCUUUUUGCACAUCUAUCAAUGUUCUUCUUGUGGCUAGGAAAGGUUUCCCUAGAAUGAUCGAAACUUCUUUGUCUGCUUUAAAAUCCAGAACAAUGACAUCAGAAUGAAAAAUAAAUUUAUUUAUUCUUACCAAACAUCCUUGAUCUUUCCUUUGGGAUAUGCUAAUGAUAAAUCUGCAAGUUGAAGUGUUACCAUAGUAAGUCUUACUUCACCUAUUCCCAACAACUUGAAAAUAGAUUUGCGCAUCAAGUUGAUGCUUACUCUUAAGUCGCAUAAAGCUUUAAUGCAGUAUAAUUCACCAAUGUUGCAAGGUAUCGUAAAGAUUCUAGAAUCCUUCAGUUUCAGAGGUAGUUUGUUCUAUAAGAAUGCACUACUUUCCUUCAUCAAAGUGACAGUCUCAUACUUCAUAAAUUUCACAUAAUUGGGCAUUUGUUUUAAAGCCUCCACCAACGGAAUGUUAAUGUGUAAUUGCUUUAAAACAUCCAAGAACUUCUCGAAUUCUACCUUUGUUUUUUCUUGUUUUGUUGAAGUCUUUGAGGAUAUGGAACUCUAGGUUGAUAUGGACAACUUUUUUGACGAGGUAAACCUGUAAAAUAGGGUGUUAACUUUUCAGAAUUCACAAGUUUAGGGUUUACCUCAUCAGAUUUUUAGCAUCUAAUUUUUCUAUUGUAGGAACGUCAAUUGUUGGUUGACUUUUCUCCUUUCCAGUAGGCUUAUCUUCAACCACAACCUUCUUAGGCUCCAAAAUCUUACCACUUCAUAAUUCUACCACUUUGAAAUGAUCCUUACCAAAAUUUUUUGGAUUUUCUGUGUCACUCGACAAGGCUCCUUGUGGUCUACUAUAAAGCUCAGUAGCUAAUUGACCCAUCUGGUUCUCCAUAUUUUUCAACAUUGCUGCUUGACUUUGUAUUAAGGCGUUAUUUUUUGCCAUUUAUGCCCUCAACAAGUUCUCCAAACUGUUUGUUGAUUCAGCUUAAGGUGGUUUUGGGGUUUAGUAGUUAAACCCUUGGGUUUGGUUGGGUCUAUGCUGCAUUUGAUUUUUGUGCAGUCCAUUUCCUUGAUUACUCCAAAAAAAUUUUGGAUGGUUCUACCACAAUGGAUAGUGGAAGUUGGACUGUGAUCCUUGUCCACUUCUAUUUUGAUACUGCUUCCAUAUAUAACAAAUUAAUUUGGGAUUUGAAGGGAAAUUCUCGAAAGAAUGACAUUACCCACAGUAUACACAAGAAACUACAUCAUACUGACCUGGUAAUUGAGCUGCAAAAUUGUUCAAACCAUUAGUGGUAAACUGUUUUAACAUAAAGGAAAUAGAAGAUACCUGAGCAGUGAGUGAAUUCAGUGCAUCCAUUUCAUGCACUCUGGCUAUACGUCUUCCUAAAACUGCCUAAUUUGUUGGCCAUUAGAAAUUGUUUCUUGUAAUCCUCUCAAUGAUCUCAUAAGCCUCGUUAUAAGACUUAGACAAAAUUGCACCAUUCGCAGAAACAUCUACCAUUAAUCUUGUGUGUGAGUUGAGACAGUUAUAAAACAUGUCCAAUUGGAUACAAUGAGGAAUCCCACGAUGAGGACACUUAUGAAGUAAUUCCUUGAAUCUUUCCUAUACGUCGUAUAAAGAUUUUUUAUCCAAUUGUUCGAAAGUUUUUAUAUCAUUAUGUAACUUUGAGUUCUUACUUGGUGGAAAAUAUUUUACCAAAAACCUUUCUGCUGAUUCUUGCCAGGUAGAUAUUGAACUUGGUGGCAAUAAAUUCAGCCAUUCUCGUGCUCGAUCUUGCAACGAGCAUGGAAAUAGUUUUAACCUCAGUGCGCCUUCAAUCACACUAGCUAACUUAAAUGAAUAACCCACCUCCGUGAACAAAUGAAGGUGUAAGUAUGGAUCUUCUGUAAGCAUACCACUGAAAUGACCCAUCGUUUGGAGCAUUUGAAACAUCACUGGUUUCAAUUCGAGUUGGGUUGCCUAGAUAUCCAGCCUCCUAAUUCCUGGAUUUAACUAAUUAAAGAGUGGCACAGUAUAUUGUCUGAUGACACGAUCCCUAUCAUCGGCAAUUAGGAUUAGGUUGUGCACUUGAUUGACUCCGUUACCUUGUUCCUCAUUUUGAUUUCCAAGGUCCAUCUCGGCUUGUCAUUGAGCAGAUCUCUCAUGUCUUCUUUGUCUAAAAGUUCGCUCGAUUUUAGGGUCCACGGAUAAUAGAUCAAUGAUUUGACUAUGCUCACAAAACACCUGAUAAAUAAAUAACAAUUAAAGAAUAAAGAAUAAAUUAAUAGAGUUAAAAAUUAAAGAAAAUAAUAAAAACCAAAUUGUAAAAUAAUUUCACAAAUAAUGAUUAAGGCAACAGUCCCCGGAACGGUGCCAAAAACUUGUAACGAAUUGUAACAUGUUUAUGCAAGUGUACGUAGUCGUUGAAGUAAUAAGCAAGUAAAAAUGAGUUAUCGUCUCCACAGAGACUGUAUAAGCUUAACCAAUUAAUUGCAAAAUUGUAAAUAACAAUUUGAUGUAAAAACUCAAUAAUUUUGGAUGAUGAUUAAAUUAAUUAAAUUAAUUAGUUGCAAAGAUUGAUUCCUAUGUAAUUCUAAUCUAGAUGCAAUUUAUCAAAAUUAAUGAAUAAAUGGCUUUAGCAACAAAAACAAUCAACAUUAAAUGGGCUAAGAUAAUUAUAUUAAUCAAAUCAACUUACUUUAAUCAUACUAACAUGUUCGAAAUUACUUCCAUGGCAACUCGAUCUCUUAUGGGUUUGGAAACCAAAUUAAGUCCUCUUGGGUUUUUUACUUAGUUAAAUGUGCAUGUUACUGAUUAUAUUAGACUAAAGGUUUCUUAGAAUUUAUGCAAGGUCACAAGGACAUUUACGUUUGUAAAAGUUUAAUUACAUAAACCUAAAAACCAUGUAAGGCAAUAGAGCUAACUAAAUUACGAACCUUAACUUAGUUGGUUUUAAUGACUAAAUUAAGCUUUGCACUUUUCAAUUAUGUGUCUACUAGCCGUCAUCUUGUUAGGACCGGUUAGCUAAUCUGAGUGCACCCAAUCACAUGUAAAUGAAAUGCAUCAUGAUAUUAAUUGAAAACAUAAUUGACUGAGGCACAAAACAUGUUAACAUGAAUUGAAUAAAUCUCAUUACAUUAAUAUAAUCAUCCUAGCAGCAUCAAAUACAAAGUAAAUAUGUUUAAAAUAAAUGAUAAGAGGAAAGAGUUUGCUCAGUUCAGCCGCCUUUCGGAUCUAUUUUGACUGAGUUGCUCAGCUUUGCUCCAUUUAGUAGCCUUUCGGGUCUAUUCUGAUUGAAGCGCUCCUCCAUUCUGAUUGAAGCUUCUUUUUCUAAGGGUUUAAAAGGUAGCACACUAAAGAGUGCUUUUAACAAAGCUUUUGUGGCUAAAGAAGGGAGAGGGGAUGGACGACUUGUAAUAUCCUGAUUUUGGGCCUAGUCGGAAUAGUAGUUUCGUGACCACAAAAUUCGAGAUAGAAAUAAUUAUUUUAUGAUUAUUUUAAGGUCUAUGAUAUGAUUGCAUGAUUGUGUGAAAAUUUAGUGAAGAAAUUUUAUGCAUAAAGUGCUUAAAUUGAAAUUAGGGACUAAAUCGAAUAAUUUGCAAAACUUGCAUUCUAGAAGUUUCUAGUAUGAAAUUGUUUUGAAAUAUUAAAUUAGGAGGUCUUAAAUAGAAAUUUUACCAAUUUCUAAGUCUAUGGACAAAAAUUGGACAUGGAUGGAAUUUUUGAAAAGUUUAGUAGUAAGGGCAUUUUGGUCAUUUAGGGGUAAAAUGAAUUAAAAUACAAAAUUAAAAGCCAAUUUUGCUCAUCUUCGACCCCAUGGCCGAAUGUAGCAAGGAGAAACCAUGGCUAGGGUUUUUCAAGCUUCCAAGCUCGAUUGUAAGUCCGUUCUAGCCUCGUUUUUAAUGAUUUUUACGUUUUUGGAGUCCCGGUAGCUCGAUUUAGCUUAUGCUAGCAAUAAUUCAACCUAGAGUUCAUAUUUGGAAAAAUACCCAUAGGUGAAAUUUGUGUAUUUUGGUGUUUUAUGAUAGAAUAUGAGGUUUUAAAUUAUGUUAGACAACUUGUACUACUCGGUUUUAAGCGAAAACGAGCAAAAGGGCUUAAUCGGUAAAAAUACCUAAUAGUCAUAAGUACAUGUUAGAGUGAGAAUUUGAUGUUGCCAUAGAAGGGAAAAAUGAUCAGCAUGUCAUAAAACAUAAGAAAAUAGGCUGAAGUUUAAUUUACAAGCUUUGGGGAAAAAGUGUAAAUAUGCAAAAGUUUAGGGGCAAAAUUGUAAUUUUUCCAAAAUAUGAUUUUGGGUCAAUUUGAAUAAUUUGAGUCCUAAUUAGACUACAUUUUAAAUGAUAGAGCAAGGAAAACUGAAAUUCAAGCUAAAAUGGGGAAAAUACCAAGUUGUGGACGAAAUGGUAAAAGUAGCCAUUUUCGCAUACGAGGUAAGUUCAUAUGUAAAUGUUGGUAACAUAGUUAUUAUUUUAAAUGUUUUUAUGUUAUUUAAAUGAUAUGAUAAUUAUUAUGAAAUAUCAUACUUGUGACAAUUGUUUGAUAAUAUGUCAAAUUAUGUGAUAUACUUGGAAAAUGAAAUGUGAAAUACUACCGAGUAUCGGUAUCGACAUUCCGUAGGAGAUGGUUGAGACACAUGAUUGGGAAAAAGGUCCCGUUGAACCUUAGGAAUGGGUUAGGAUACAAGUGACAUGUCACUAGGAUGUUUGGGCAUCCGAACUCGUUGAGUUGAGUCCGAGUUCACUUAUGGAUGCGAAUGUCCGAACUCGUUGAGUUGAGUCCGAGUUCGAGAGAUGUAACUAGGCAUCCGAGCUUGUUGAGUUGAGUUCGAGUUCACUUAUGGAUGCGAACGCUUGAGCUCGUUGAGUUGAGUCCGAGUUCGCUUAUGGGCGGGUUACAUGGUAGCUUGGCUACAUAUGUGGCACUUAUGUGCAAACUUUCCAUGUAUCCGAAUUAUAUUCCGAUGUGUUCAACGGGUAAAGUUCUACUGAAAUGGAGGAAUACUCAAGAUGAAAGGGACGUAUUGGUAAGUGUUGUGAAAUGAAUACUUUGAACAGGUAUGUACUUAACCCUCGGGUUGAAAACUCGAUAUAACAACAAUAUGGUAAGAUGAUAAAUGAAAAUGUGAUAUGAAUGUCUCGGUGAUGAUUAUGCAAAUGAUGUUUUAUGUUUGCUUAUAUAGUUAUGUUACUUGCUAUUUGCAUGUGAACUUACUAAGCAUUUAUGCUUACUCCCUCCUUUUCAUUCCUUGUAGUUUUGAACAAGCCAGCUCGGGAAUCGGGACGGGUCGAAGGUUCGAUCACACUAUCCAAAGGACUUUCAUCUGGGUAAAUGGCUUGUAAAACUUAAGUAUGGC
RNAcentral lists this long non-coding RNA (31447 nucleotides) under Gossypium barbadense (sea-island cotton). Its description in RNAcentral is "long non-coding RNA (GBAR_LNC009308)". Lineage: Eukaryota; Viridiplantae; Streptophyta; Magnoliopsida; Malvales; Malvaceae. The record is from RNAcentral.